Long non-coding RNA from Papaver somniferum (opium poppy), 899 nucleotides. RefSeq lists it as uncharacterized. NCBI's taxonomy places the organism in Eukaryota, Viridiplantae, Streptophyta, Magnoliopsida, Ranunculales, Papaveraceae. The transcript is spliced from 2 exons. The record is from RefSeq and is a predicted model, not a curated record.
GUCGUCAUUCCAAAACGUUUACAAAGACGCACCUUAACCUUGACAACUUGAGGUUCCCCAUCAUCGUUGACAUCAGCCAAAGAUGAAUCAAACCAGUGCUGAUUGCCAAAUUCAUAUUUUCUUACACGGAGGUCUCUAUAUAUAUCCCAUAUAUGGUCGACGUUAGCAUGGUGGGCGAAGAACACACAAUCCUCUUUUGCAGCAGUGUAAAAGUUUCCCAUAUCAUGGUGAGCAUCAAAAGAAUAAAGCCAAGUUCUCCUAACAAAGAUAUAAUUCGUAGAUUCCGGCGGUUGAUGACAAAAGUGGCAGACAUUAGCUAUGGGGUUACCACUUGCCAAGACCAAGACUGUUUCUCUUAUUCUAGUACGGAGUUUAUCGAUGCUUGCCAUAGGAAAAAAAAAAACUAUUCUGUGUGGCCAUAUCUUAGUCCAUAUUUUGGCCUAUUUUGUGUGGCUACUGAAUUGUAUACUGUAUGGACAGAGAACUGGACAUCUUUAUUGCCGAGCCAUAAAGACACGGAGUCCAAGUAAUUGAGGAGUCUGGCCAUCUAUCGAAAUCAUUAAGUCUUCUGCGUAAUAUCCCUAACUCCCAGUUUAGGCUUGAAGCAUGAGGGGAGGAAGCAACUUGCAAGACAAUGCCUUUAGUGUGCGUAGAUCCUUUUUUUUUUUUGCGUAGAUCCUACCCUUUAUAAUUAGUUCAAGGAAUGAAAGUAGACAAACACGAACAAUUAUUUCAGAAAUAAUCUUCACAAAAUUGGUCAAUUAAUCCAAUAACGAUAAUUUUUGGGUGAAAAAGACAUGUAAAAUUUGAUACUGUUUAAAUGGACGAAAAUUAAACAGUUUCAUCGUACCAUUUUCAAAUGUUUUUUCUUAUUUUUAAUUUACAUCAGGAUGCAUCCA